GCGAAGUGGCCAACGGUCUUAUGUACAUCCUGAGCACCGGCUGCCAAUGGCGGGCGAUCCCGAAAGACCUGCCGCCCCGCUCGACCUUGUACGAUUACUUCGAUCUGUGGAGCUGGGACGGCACGCUUGAUCGCAUUCAUCACGCCCUUUAUGUCGAAUGCCGCGCGAGAGCUGAGCGCGAGGCGUCUCCGACCACGGCCAUCAUUGACAGCCAGAGCGUGAAAAGCGCUGAAAAAGGGGGCCCCGCAUCGACCCGCAUGGCUACGAUGCGGGCAAGAAGAUCAAGGGCAAGAAGCGGCAUAUUCUCGUCGACACGCAGGGCCUCUUGAUGCACGCCAUCGUGCAUGCCGCCGACAUCCAGGAUCGCGAGGGCGGCGUGCUUCUGAUGGCCACGCUGUUCGGCAUCUAUCCCUUCCUUCUGAAGCUCUAUGCCGAUGGCGGAUAUCAGGGCGCCGGCUUUCAAGAGGCGCUGCGUGCCGUUCUGAACCGCAUUAACCUUGAGAUCGUCAAGCGUUCCGAUCAAGCGCGGCGCUUCGUCGUCUUGCCCAAACGCUGGAUCGUCGAGCGGACCUUCGCCUGGCUCGGACGAUGCCGAAGGCUCGCCAAGGAUUGGGAAUGCCUCAAUCGCAAAGCACUCGCCUUCCUCAAGCUCGCCUCCAUCCGUCUCAUGCUGCGAAAACUAUGCAAUCAAAAGUGAUGUUCCCGGACAGACUCUAAAAGAGUAUGGUGGGUGGAUCGGAGCAUUAGCGCUUUUCAUCAUUCUGAUUUUUAGAGAUGCACUAAAAAAGAUGAUCUCUCAGGCUGCCGAUGGAGUCCUUCUGACUUUUCAUCGCCGCCUUUCGCACACGCGCUUCGCGCAACGGCGCGCACUCCGAACGUACCAGACACAAACCCGUGAGACGUACCAGACCCUGAAAAUCCCAUUUCGACCGCGUCAGCCCUUGUAGUUCUGGGUGCGCCCGGUUCCGGUAAGUCAGUGCUGCUCAAACAUUUCAUGCUGGCAUUCGGGCGCGGCUGGCUGGAUCGGAUUUUCGACUUCCCCGUCGCCAUAUUCAUCGAAUUGCGGCGCUUAAACGAUUGCACUCCACAAGAAAUCGAUCUACACGCCCAGGCGCUCAACGCCCUCAAGCGAGGCGGAUUAACUCAUCCUGAACCAUUUCUUAAGAGUGUAAUGGAGCGCCGACGACAACUUAUCCUCUUUUUAGAUGGUUUCGAUGAAGUCGAUACCAACCGGCGAAAUCUGGUGGCGACGCACAUAAGCGAUUAUCUACAGCAGCACUCGUGGUGCCGUGCCGUGAUUACCUGCAGGACGCAGGUUUACGACCAGGAGUUUGUCCAAAUUGCGGACGAGACAUUACAAAUACUCGAUUUUGUAGACACUCAGAUCAGUCAAUUUCUGGAUGCCUGGGAAGACCAGAUGCCGACCGGCAAGUCCGCGGAUCAAUUGCUUGCCACUCUUCAAGAUCGCCCUCGCAUCAUGGCUCUCGCUCGCAAUCCUCUACUUCUCACGAUCAUCGCUUUCUUGUACGCAGACACCGAGGCCAUCUUGCCGCAUUCGAGAUCCACGUUCUAUCGCCAAGCGGUCCUGAUCCUCCUCGCGCAAUGGAAUGUUAUCCGCAAUACUUACGAUUCGGAUGAAAAGGCCGGGGUUCUUAGACAUCUGGCUCUAAUUCAUCAACAACGAUCUGCAGAAGACGCCCGUGAUCGCUUGGCGGUACCAGCAGAUGCUGUUCUUGCUGAAAUUCGAGAGGUCGGACCGAAGCUGAAUUUCCCCGAUGAUUCCGAUGCACGGGCUGUCUUGGCCGAGAUCGUUGAAAGAAGCGGCUUGCUGCUGGCGGUGGAUGGUGGCCAACGCUACCAGUUUUCUCACCUUACUCUCCAGGAGUUUUUCGCCGCCGAGGCUUUAUUGCACGAUCCGGACCGCUUGCUGUCCCUUUACGGACAGGAUCCGGACCGAUGGCGCGAAUGUGUCAAACUCUGGUGCGGUUUGGUCGACGAUUGCA
RNAcentral lists this unclassified non-coding RNA (2003 nucleotides) under uncultured fungus. RNAcentral's name for it is "sequence contains 18S rRNA gene, ITS1, 5.8S rRNA gene, ITS2, 28S rRNA gene". The record is from RNAcentral. Lineage: Eukaryota; Fungi.